Homo sapiens (human) is the source of this 229-nucleotide long non-coding RNA. NCBI's taxonomy places the organism in Eukaryota, Metazoa, Chordata, Mammalia, Primates, Hominidae. The record is from Ensembl.
CAGAUUUUCCCAAUUCCACAUUUUGGAAGUAUCAAGAGCUGUUUCAUGAGAUAAGCUGGCGAGAGGAAAUAGACUACUCUGGUAGGAAACUAGAGCAGGUGUACUCAAGGUAACAUUCUCCCUACUUCCUGGUCUACUAGUUCAAGAAAAACGUUUGUUUUGAGUGCCACACGGCGAACCCAUUUUAGAAGUGUUUCUAUUACUAAUAAAACAUUUGCAUAUUUGGAUA